CACCCCGGACUGAGACUCGCUCUUCUCGUCCAGAAGAAUAGUUGUCUUCCUGGUUGAGACAGAGGAGAGUGGAAUUUCGUGUGUAGGGGUGAAAUCCGGAGAUCUACGAAGGAACGCCAAAAGCGAAGGCAGCUCUCUGGGUCCCUACCGACGCUGAGGUG
This is a ribosomal RNA of Nicotiana attenuata, 161 nucleotides long. It matches the Rfam family "Bacterial small subunit ribosomal RNA", at positions 568 to 753 of the family's 1533-position model. Lineage: Eukaryota; Viridiplantae; Streptophyta; Magnoliopsida; Solanales; Solanaceae. The record is from Rfam.